Molecule: long non-coding RNA, 2650 nt
Filed under: Sorghum bicolor (sorghum)
Lineage: Eukaryota; Viridiplantae; Streptophyta; Magnoliopsida; Poales; Poaceae
Description: long non-coding RNA (SBIC_LNC001525)
Source: RNAcentral
CUCAGGUGAUGUUGUUGCUGUUCCUUUUGCUCAAGGAUGUGGUGCGGCUGUUGGGUGAUGUGGUUGAUGGCCGGAUGGAUCUGCAUCGAUUUCCCCUUGGCGGAGCUUUUCGUCGACGGCGAUGGCGGAUCCAGGAGCUGGACGGGGUGGGGCGUGACCCCGGUCGACGUGCGACCGCUGUAGGCAUCAUCCCAUCUUCUGAGAUGGGUGUCUUCUUCGACUCCUUCAAAAGCUAGAGGGCGAUGGGCCUUCUCCAGCUCAUGGUGGCUCCGGGCGUCUUCUCCGUUGGCGGUGAUCGGCGACGGCGAUGGCGAUUCCGGACUUCGUCGGUUUGCAAGGGAUCUGGGGACUCGGUUGUAAUUUUUUCUUUUCUCGGGGUCCUUUGCGUAGUUUGGCUAGCACAGUUGCUCAUGCAUCCUAGCUUACAGUAUGUCUCUGUAUUUGUACCCGUACUUGUAUGUUUCCCUUAUCUAGAAAUACAGAUACAUGCUUUCAAAAAAAAAACUUAACUAUUUGAUCGAAAGUCACACAUGGCCGGAUAAUAACUUGUGACAUCUGGUCCAGCUCAGUUUGAAAUUUGGCCCAUGUCAACCCAUGCGUACGUUAAUUAGAUAUUAUGGAGCGUUUAGUCUCACGGUGUGGUGGGUUAGACUAAUAUAUAAGAUUUCUAUAGUCUACCAUCCUGCUAUCCCUAGGUUAAUCUGACCUUUUACACAAACCGAGGAUGAAAAUAUAAGUGAGAUAAUGGUAGGUGUAAUUCACUAAGCAUGCAGAGUAAUCUGAAACGUUGCUUAACUCUAGCUCCCAUAUUUUCCAUGCCAACCAUUGAAUUAAGGUCUAUAUAUACUAGCCAUGGUUCCAACCAACCCUUAAUGGUCUCUUUUCUUGUCAAAACUGUUAUAGCGCUAGACUCUUUUCGCUUUCUUGCAGAAAAAAUAAAACAAGAGAGCUCGUAUACUAGCAAGGAACCGUUGCUUAAUAAGCAAUAAUAAAUCAGCCAAAACUGAGCUUAUCGGUCGAAUCUGCCAGUCAUUCAACAGUAUUUUUCUUUUACAAGAAUCAGUCAACCGUAUUUUCUGUCAUGACUUAUCAGCCAAACGAACAAGACGGCGCUUGCAGCACCUUUUAGUGCAUGCACAUUUGAUUGGUUAGCGAGCGCUGUUGUUUCUGAAGCCGUGCUUCCAUGUCCUCCUUUAAGCUGUAUCAACUUGCAGCCCACUCUCAAACCCUGGCAAAUCGGAACAGAAUAUUCAAUAUCCAACCGUUUGCAUUGGUCCCUUGUGAUCUGACCAGCUCAUCUUCUAGGUAAGUUCACUUGGAAUGCGAAACUUUUAUGAAACAAUUUCAUAUUUUGAUUUUGUUUAGCAAAAAGAAAAAAAGGUCUGCUGUAGGGGUCUCGACCCCUCCAGAUCUCUAAAAAAAAGAAAAAAAAGGUCAUUUUCAGCAGUUUGAUAAAAAAAAGCUACUUAAAAAUAAAAAGUUAUCAAAUAUCCUUUGUAACUCAUAAGUAUACGUAGUUGAGAAGAAUUCUAUAUAUCCUCCCUAACUCAUAAGUAUACAUAGUUGAGAGGAACUCUGUAUCCGCUCUUCAUUCGGUGUUUUUCUUGUAACAUCAGACUAAAUUGGACCAAAUAAAGGGUUUUGGAUGAAAAAGUGGUAAGAGAUAAAGAAACUAGUAAAAGAGGAUUGGUUAGUUAGAAACAGUUUUGGGGUUUCCAAAAUCGUUUAGAAAGCUAGUAUAGAAAAUUGUUGUAGAAGGAAAAAUAAAUUUCGAUUGCUAUUUAUUUUGUUAAGUCGCUAAAAUUAUUGAUUUAGCAAAUUAAUUAUAGAAAACACCUAAUUCUGAUCAGAAAACCCUCAGGUUCUUGCAAAUAUGACUGGUUGCUAUAUGUCAAUGUGUUUGUACAAGUGGAUAUUCAAGGUCAUUAUUGUAUACAUAGAUGAACUAAAAGAGCCAACAUAGUUCGAUGUAUAGAUUUCCAUCUGGCCCGCGGCCCGUUAGCACAGCCCGCGGCCCAUCAAUUUGGCCCGGCACGGGCACGGCCUGACACGGUGGCUGACGGGCCUCGGGCGGCACGGCACGGGGGGUAGGCCGUGCCAUGGGCCGCCACCUCAGCACGUGGCCCGGCACGGGCACGGCCCGCUUUAGCGCUGCGGCACGACGGCGGCCCGACCCCCCGCUUCAUAUAAAAGCCGGCCCCCCACCCCUCUCGGCCUCUCUAAACCCUAAACGCCCUCACCCGACCCCGCGCCGCAGCUCGCUAUCCAUCUCGGCCUCUCCAAACCCUAAACGCUCUCCGUCUCGAUCUGCCACCAGUCGCCGCUCCGGUGGCCUCACUGGCUCACCGCCGCUCCUCCAUGGCUCCACCUUGAGGUCUGAGCACGCAAACCUUCUCCUCAGUCCUCCCUCCUCCUUUCCGGUUUUCCCCUCCUUCCCUCUCCUCCUCCGGUGAACCAUGUGAGUUCGUGUUGCAUGUUCGUCCCUCUGCCGGCCGCCGGCACUCGUCGUCGUUUCUAAUCGAUCUGUCUCGUCGUUUUUCCUCCGGCUUGCUGGCCUCUUCUUCUCCGGCACCGAGCUCCGGUAGCACAGGUCAGUGUUGAACCCUAACCCUAGAUCUGAAUCUGCUCCGACUCCUUCAUUCCUUCUUGC